Molecule: long non-coding RNA, 318 nt
Organism: Passer domesticus (house sparrow)
Lineage: Eukaryota; Metazoa; Chordata; Aves; Passeriformes; Passeridae
Exons: 3
Source: RefSeq, a predicted model, not a curated record
CAGGUGACAGAAGCUUCUGUGGCUGUUGUGUUACAGGCGUGUCUGCAGGGACGACCUCACCAACUCCUACCUUGGAUGCUGCACAAAAGACCAGCUCCCAUGGCAGGGGUCCUCUGACAGGAGAGACCAAAGACAUGGCAGGCAGGAAAUUCCAGGACCCAUUAGAAAUCAUGUGGCAAAUGCUGAAGGAACGUCUGCAGAGAAGGCAAGAAAUGAAAGGAGAGCCUGCGGAGAAAGAAGCAUUUCCCGGAGGAAGCAGUGGUUGCAUGCCAGCCUCAGCUCCAGGAAGGGAGGCCAUGCCAGGCACAGGCACAGGAG